Tupaia belangeri chinensis (Chinese tree shrew) is the source of this 3235-nucleotide long non-coding RNA. RefSeq lists it as uncharacterized. The record is from RefSeq and is a predicted model, not a curated record. Lineage: Eukaryota; Metazoa; Chordata; Mammalia; Scandentia; Tupaiidae. The transcript is spliced from 3 exons.
CAAGCUGAGCUCAGAGAGGCAAAGGGACUUGUGCAAAGUCACACAGCACGCUGGAGGCACAGGCUACGCUAAGAGCCAGCUUUCAGGCCCAACCCUCGGUCCUCUGCUGGGUCACCGACUCACCAGCUACCCUGAGUGAGAACCAUGUGUCUCGCAUGGUGUCCACACCAACGGUACAGGUUUGGCAGCAGAUCUUGAGAAGACGAGCUUUCUGGGCUCGUGGUUUGGAAACAGCCAAGGCCUGCAAGUUGUAGCAGCUCCUCAGCUGCUGGGGAGAAAACGGAUCCGGCCCUUCCGCAGGCGCUCUGACUUCAAUGUGCACGGCCUUUGACCUAGCAGCUCCACUUCUGGGAAAUAACAGCGAGGUGCAUGCUCACAGCUCCAGCCUGCCAGGCGGCAACGUCAGGAUGGCUUCAAAGGCGUCAGGACAGCCUCAGUGGCCAGCCCCAGGGGCCUGGACAGAAAGAAGAAAGCCCAUCAAGAUGGACCUCGGCCGCCCCCUCACCGACCGGCUAUGGGAACCAGCCUCCAGGAGCCGCCGCCACUCAGUGUCCAUGACCUUUCUGAAAUCCCCAUGCACACACAUGUCUAGAUGGGGAAACCGACUCCACGCCAGCCCAGGGGUCCCUGCUCACCACCCCAGCCCCACCACUAGCUACCCCAAGGGAAUGCAGUCCAAGGAGUCUGAGGGAUUGGCUGGGGUUAAAGGGAGAACGUGGGGACAAGCCUCAGGGACUCUCGGACUCGCACGAUGGCAGAGCCAGAAGGGACUGGUUACUCAGAGAUGUGGAAACAGGCCCACGGGGGGACGGUCACACCUCAUGCUCACCGUGGAAGGGCAGCCACUGGAAUGCCAGGCUCCGUGGCAAAGAUUCCAGAGCUGAGGAUUUAGCUGAGAACCCAGAAAGAACACCCAAGCCCCGAAACAACACCAGGACUCGUGCCCGGGAGCCCAGCGGACAGUCCAAGGUAGAGGCAGCGUCCACCAUCCCCUCGCUUCAGUGAGGCUGCAGAUGGGGCCAGAAACACCAGUGCACCCCAGAACAAGCCUCCCCACAGGAGGCACAGGGCCAACCAGCCGCCCUGCAGAGAUAGGGGCACUACUGGCUAUGGGUGUGGGGGGGACACCCAGGGACCUCGAGACCACAAACACAGGCUGCAGAGGACCUCCCACUGCCAGGGAGACCCCAGGGCAAAUACCCUGGCCAGCCCCCCAGCCGGGGCCGCCUGCAGGAGGGCAGGAGCCUUCUCACUGACACGGUGGGAAUUCCAGCCCCAAGGUCAGUCUGUAAUGGGGUGAAGUUCCAGGCACCCCUAGUCACUCCAGCGACAAAUCACAAAGGGCAUGGGAUUACAGGUGCCUCAGUCCCUCGUGCAGGGGUUCUGUUCAGGGCAGUGAGGGGACACUGUCACCAUACGGGUGGGCUGUCCCUCGUGCCUAGGGUUCUGUUCAGGGCAGUGAGGGGACUCUGUCACCAUAGGGGUGGGCUGAGAAAGAGGAGCGGCAAGUCCCUGGGGCUGUCAGGAGCCCAGGGGCCACUGCUGUGCCCAUGUCAUGGCUGUGAGCCUCUCAAGCAACCCCAGCACCCCAGGCAGGCGUUACAAGGUCUGAGUAAGUGACUGCUCACCAGCUUAUGGGGUGCCGGGUGCCUUGGACAGGGGCGGAGGAAGGGCCUCGGCUCUGCUGGAAAAUGGUGGGGAUCAGAGCAACCUUUCCCCCAGCUUGGGCCCCUCCUCUCCAUAGCCCCUCAUCGGAAUUCACGAAGGUCCUGAAAACCUGAUUCUCUCAGCAGGCAACCGAAACCAGGAAAGCAGCCUUUGCCAGGUCCUCAGGGUCCAAAGUGGCACCUCAGGGACACACAUUUGCAGAGGUCCCCAGGGUCAGGCAACACCAGGCUCUUGGGGCUCUUAUUCAAAACGCAGGUUCCCUCUGGAGCCAGUAGUGAGGACAGAAUGCAAAGGUACAAACGCCACUGAACUGUACCCUGGGAGACGGUGAAACUAAGUCCUGUAAAUGUCAUCUCACUUUAAAAGUGCCGCCCCCCCCCAGUAUAUUCUAGGCCCGCCCAGCCUUGGAGACCCCGACUUAGCAGACCUGGGCCUGGGAACGUGCAUGGGACCUGAGCGGCAGGAGUGGUCCACAGCCAGGGCUGGGGACCCUGCACCCCAGGAUCCGCUUUCCUGCACUGCUGGAUCUCAAUGCCGCCUGUCCUCCACCCAAGUUCCAUCAUCUUACCAGUGGGGAGACUAGGCCCAGAGCAUGACAGGCCCCAAAGCUCACGGAGGACCCUGAUGAAAUGCAAACAACCCCUCCCUCACCAAGGGCAGGGUGUGCCGCAGAGGGUCCCUCCAAGGUGAAGCCCCCCUCUCCCCUGCAAUGCAGCUCAGGUGGGGGGUGGGGGCCCUCGGAGGGAUGGUGCAGCUUUCCAGUCUGACUGUCCCCAACAGCCAGCCCCCAGGGCAAAGACGGCCACCGCCUUCCCACCUGGGCCCCAGGGAACCAGAGGAUGGAGGGUUUUUUAUUAUUAUUGUUAUUUUUUAAAUACGAAUGAUUUCCAGGCGGAAGGCAGAGGGAUGAGGGCCAUCGGAGGCCUCUGGCCGCGGGCACCCCGCCAGCCUCGGAAAUGUCUGGCAGCUGGAGGGAGCCUUAGCUCCUGCUACGGAAUGAGCUCGUCACUGCUCACUUCCCUGGCUCUCCGGCUGACGGGUCCAGUGUGUGCCUGAGUCUCCAAAGUCACUUCCUAGGCCACCCUCAAGGGACGGAGCAUCAGGGCAUGUGGGCAGAACUUCAGGGGGGCCUCAGUUUCCCCGACCAAGUGUGGGCAGAACGAGGGGAGCACUGAGUCAGCUGCAGGUCAGCCGGCCAUUACCCGGAGGCUGCUGGCCGCCGUGGCACUGGGACGGUACAGUCUCAGCCUUGACAGGCGAGUGACCCCACCGCCUAUCAAGCACCCAGACCUGCCAAGUCCCUGGCAUGGUACUGGUCCUGGGCACAGACUGGCUCUUUUCAUUUUUCACAACCACCAGGACAACGGGCCACUAUUACCCUCAUUGUACAAGAGAGAAACCAAGACUCAGAGAGGUUUAGGACUCUGCCCAAGGUCACACAGCUAGUGAAUGUCAAAGCCUUGCUCUAAAGCCAGUACUCUGCAAAGAAAGCAAGAAAAGAACCGGGGGACCGGCAGAUGGUGUAGUAGUUACGUCACUGGACUCCCACAUGGCCAACAUCGGUUUG